This 1000-nucleotide long non-coding RNA is filed under the name Olea europaea (common olive). RNAcentral describes it as "long non-coding RNA (OEUR_LNC012068)". Lineage: Eukaryota; Viridiplantae; Streptophyta; Magnoliopsida; Lamiales; Oleaceae. The record is from RNAcentral.
UUGCCUUCGUCAGAGGCAGCUUCUCCUCUACAGGUUUCCUAAAAUCAGUUCCACUGACAGAUGCAUCUUUUCUGACCCUGGGCCUCAAACUUUCACAGGGACUUAUAAUGAAGCCACCAACUUGCAAUUGAUCUUGUGUUAGCAGGUCUAUUUCUCGUUUUCUCUUUCUUCCACUCUCUGCAGUUGGUUCAGGUUGUACAGAAGUACAUUUGGAAUAAUUCGGCUCUCUCUGCUCCAGUAAAGAGACAUCCAUGUCGUUAUCGCCAUAAGAUGCCAUAGCAGCAUAUAUGUUACUUGCUACAUGGAGUUCUUCAACCGACGUUGAAGUAAAUUCUUCUACCAGUCCAGUACCUAUUGAAACAGCUUUGUUUUGAUUAUCUCUAUCUGACUGAUUUACUUGCCGACACUCAAAAACAGCUUUCUCGAGAUUAUCUCCGCCUUUCUGAAUUUCCAGCCGUCCCAUGGAAACAUCUGUGUCUUUAUUUUCUCCGUCUGUCUGAAUUUCCUGCUUUCUCACAGGGGCAGCUUUCUCUUUAUUAUCUGCAUCUCCGUGAACUUUGUUGUGACCCACGCAAUUCAAGGUAUCCAAUACCUGUGGGACAGCUUUCUCUUUAUUAUCUGCGCCUCUGUGAACUUUGUUGUGACCCUGGCAAUUCAAGGUAUCCGAUACCUCAUUUUCUGUUUCCUUCAGUAUAUGUUUCUCCCUCACAUUUACAUUUUUUCUGUUACCUUGAGCAGAAACUACAGAACCAGAAAAAUUACCAGAAUGACACCUCCCAGCUUCAGCUGCAGGUGAACAAUUGGAAUCAUCCAAAUAACAUCUCUUGUUUUUCUCAAAGUUUUCAUCGCCUACCUUGAUUUCAUGCUGCAGUUCGGGAUCAUGCCAUGUUGUACUACAAACAGUUUCCUUCACUAUCAAUUCAUCAGAAGAGCACAAUAAAGUUUGUGCUGCAACAUUCUCGACAACUGGCAUGGCAGAGAUAAAUGAAUUUGCACAUUG